AGAGUUUGAUCCUGGCUCAGAGCGAACGCUGGCGGCAGGCUUAACACAUGCAAGUCGAGCGGGCAUAGCAAUAUGUCAGCGGCAGACGGGUGAGUAACGCGUGGGAACGUACCUUUUGGUUCGGAACAACCAAGGGAAACUUUGGCUAAUACCGGAUACGCCCGUAAGGGGAAAGAUUUAUCGCUGAAAGAUCGGCCCGCGUCUGAUUAGCUAGUUGGUGAGGUAAUGGCUCACCAAGGCGACGAUCAGUAGCUGGUCUGAGAGGAUGAUCAGCCACAUUGGGACUGAGACACGGCCCAAACUCCUACGGGAGGCAGCAGUGGGGAAUAUUGGACAAUGGGCGCAAGCCUGAUCCAGCCAUGCCGCGUGAGUGAUGAAGGCCCUAGGGUUGUAAAGCUCUUUUGUGCGGGAAGAUAAUGACGGUACCGCAAGAAUAGGCCCCGGCUAACUUCGUGCCAGCAGCCGCGGUAAU
RNAcentral lists this ribosomal RNA (472 nucleotides) under uncultured bacterium. RNAcentral's name for it is "bacterial SSU rRNA". It matches the Rfam family "Bacterial small subunit ribosomal RNA", at positions 8 to 524 of the family's 1533-position model. The record is from RNAcentral.